AACGCACAUUGCGCUCCCCGGUAUUCCGGAGAGCAUGCCUGUUUGAGCAUCAUUUGAACACAUCAUGCCGCCUUUGGCCUGGGCUCGUUCCCUGGUCUCGUGGAGAGCAUGGAAAUGGAAGUUUUCGAAGCCCUCGAGGCGACGGCAUCUUCUGAAAACCAUGGUGCAUCCCCGUCCGGAGGGACCCGCGGAUAGCUGCGCAACAAAGGGAUUUGCUCUUCUUUUUACGCAUGCGUCUGGCUGGGUGAAGCUUCUUUCGGACGAGGGAGGCAAUGUCCAGGUUGCCAAGGUUCUUGAAACCUUGGGGGCUGCUCGGGCGGAAUUCGACGGCUAGGCACGAAACGCGUUUCGCGGCCUUUGCCCGAAAGACAUGGUCUCAAAUCAGGCAGGAAAACCCGCUGAACUUAA
RNAcentral lists this unclassified non-coding RNA (408 nucleotides) under uncultured Ascomycota. RNAcentral's name for it is "sequence contains 5.8S rRNA gene, ITS2, 28S rRNA gene". The record is from RNAcentral. Lineage: Eukaryota; Fungi; Ascomycota.